RNAcentral lists this ribosomal RNA (468 nucleotides) under uncultured Rhodocyclaceae bacterium. RNAcentral describes it as "bacterial SSU rRNA". It matches the Rfam family "Bacterial small subunit ribosomal RNA", at positions 338 to 798 of the family's 1533-position model. The record is from RNAcentral. Lineage: Bacteria; Pseudomonadati; Pseudomonadota; Betaproteobacteria; Rhodocyclales; Rhodocyclaceae.
CCUACGGGUGGCUGCAGUGGGGAAUUUUGGACAAUGGGCGCAAGCCUGAUCCAGCCAUGCCGCGUGAGUGAAGAAGGCCUUCGGGUUGUAAAGCUCUUUCGGCUGGGAAGAAAUCGCAUCUCCUAAUACGGGGUGUGGAUGACGGUACCAGCAUAAGAAGCACCGGCUAACUACGUGCCAGCAGCCGCGGUAAUACGUAGGGUGCGAGCGUUAAUCGGAAUUACUGGGCGUAAAGCGUGCGCAGGCGGUUUCGUAAGACAGAGGUGAAAUCCCCGGGCUCAACCUGGGAACUGCCUUGGUGACUGCGAGGCGAGAGUAUGGCAGAGGGGGGUGGAAUUCCACGUGUAGCAGUGAAAUGCGUAGAGAUGUGGAGGAACACCGAUGGCGAAGGCAGCCCCCUGGGCCAAUACUGACGCUCAUGCACGAAAGCGUGGGGAGCAAACAGGAUUAGAUACCCUUGUAGUCGUA